AAUGAACGCUGGGGGCAGGCCUCACACAUGCAAGUCGAACGCCCCGCAAGGGGAGUGGCGCACUGGUGAGGAACGCGUUUGAAUAUGCCCGUCGGUUCGGCAGAACACAGGAAAACUUCUGCUACUACCGGAUAACAUCUACGGAUGAAAGAUUCAUGCCCGAGGGAGUAGGACGCGUAGGAUUAGAUUGUUGGUGUGGGAACGGCUAAACAAGCGGAAGAUCCUUAGCUGGUCUGAGAGGAUGAACAGCCACACUGGGACUGAGACACGGCCCAGACUCCUACGGGAGGGAGCAGUGGGGAAUAUUGGAACAGGGGCGAAAGCAUGAUCAAGCCAUGCCGCGUGAGUGAUGAAGGCCUUAGGGUUGUAAAGCUCUUUCGCCAGGGAAGAUAAUGACGGUACCUGGAAAAGAAGCCUCGGCUAACUCCGUGCCAGCCGCCGCAGUAA
This 447-nucleotide ribosomal RNA is filed under the name uncultured bacterium. RNAcentral's name for it is "partial 16S ribosomal RNA". It matches the Rfam family "Bacterial small subunit ribosomal RNA", at positions 29 to 523 of the family's 1533-position model. The record is from RNAcentral.